UUGAAUAAAUUCACUUUAUACUCUUGAGGAAACAUAUAACAUAAACUAAAUUUGUCAUAGUUUAUACAUAUUCAUCCAUGAAAUCUGAUUUGGUAGAAACUGGCUAGAGGGUUAUCCCAAACUAUACCCAUUAUAGUUUAUUAGAGUUGAUAUAAAAAAAUGCUUUGUAAAAACCUUUCUGAAAGUGAUGAAGUUAGAUUUCCAAAUUAAGAGUUUCCCUUAUGCUCAACAUAUUACAAAAAUAAGGGAUAAAAUAUCUGAAUAUGUUAUUAAACAUGUAAAUCAUUAACUGUAUUGAUAAGUUUAAAAAUUAAUAAAAUACUAUGAGUUUGGCUUGUAUUCCCCCUGAAAACAUUAAAAACACGAAAAGUAUAGGGGUAUGAACUCACCGUUUUAUGUGUGCUUCGAAUGUAGGAUCGUUAGGGAUGUUGAGUUUCAAUUGCAACCUCAAGCACAAACGGACCCUAUUUAACAUAUAACGAUGUAUGGACAUAAUUAGUGUAUAACACAACUAAUCAUGAUAAGAGACACCCUACGGGACUAGGAAACACAUGGUACAAGUGUUACAAUCACAUAUGAUUGUAUGAAGGGAGUGUAAGGCCACACAAAAGAGUGUGUGGUCGAAGUGUGUGGUCGGAGUGUGUGAUUGGAGUGUGCUGCCGCACACAGGUGUGUGCGGUCGUACACCCCACAUAAAGAUGUCCAAAAUGCCAAAUCUAGGGUGUGGCAACGCUAGUUUCAUGUCUAACUCGAAUAUGGAAGUCCAACUCUCACUUUGGAGGGUCUUUUAGGAGUGUGCGGCCCACCUUAUGAAGGUGUGCAGCCACAUUCCUUCAAAGAAUGAAGAACAUGAUGAUUCAAGGCUUAGAUCCACAGGUCCUUCAUCUAUGAUGAGCUAGGUGAUGGAAAACUCACGUUUUUGAGGCCUUGGGAGGGUUUGCGGUUGAAGAGUCUUGAGAGAAAAGGAGUAGUGUGCUGCCACGGAGUGAAAGGAAUGAAGGGAAGGGGUCUACCCUUUAUAUAGGGUGGGUGUGUGGUCCUGGGGGUGUGUUCGGCCGUACAUCGAUGUUUGCGGCCGCACACUCCUCCAAAAGGAGUGUAUGGUCCGGUUUUGCUACUAUACGCCUUGCCGACUCAUUCCUAACCUCAACCUUCACUGUACCCAUGCUUAGAAUACUUAAUGGACCCUUAAACGGUGCUAGAAGUUAACAGCGUUGGCUUAACAUUGAUUGAAUUGACUAGAUGUACAAUGAGAAAGUUUCGAGUUGUCACAUCAUCCCCCCGUUAGAGGGAAUUUUGUCCCGAAAUUCAAGAAUAAGGAUGUAACUCGCGGACUUGGACUUGAUGGGGGGUACCUCUGUUUCCUUGUAUUUUUUUGUGCUCCCUAAUGAAUUCAAGUUCCCGUUUGACAUUCCAGUGUACCAUCAAUAUAUGGAUGUGAAGUUACUUCGUUCAAUUGAAUUCCUGCACCAUGAAUUUGAAUGAUCCCUCCAUGAAGCGUAGAUUCUCAUCUAGCUCGAUAUUGUCGAGGGGAACCACAAGUGUCUUAUCGGACAGACCCUUAUUUAGGUUUGACACGUGGGAGGCGGGAUGAACGCUGCUGAUAUCUGGAGUUUGUACGCUACGGGACCGAUCCUAGCAAGGAUCUCAGACGAUCCAACGUAUCUUGAAUUUAGCUUACUAUGCUUUCUGAAGCAUAUCAGGCCUUUCUAGGGUGAUUUCAGGACUAGUGAGAGUACUGUCGUGGACUUGACUCUUGACUAGUUGCAUGUUGCCCACCUCAGCCCAACAUAUAGGGGAUCUAUACUUACGGCCAUAGAGGGCUUCGAACAACGCAACCUUGAUGCUGGAAAAGGUCAUCGUUGUUGCAAUAAAGUCCCACUAAGGGUAGAUGAGUGUACCACGUCGUAUCUACAAUUGUCCGGAUUGUUCUCUUACGCUGUCCAUUUAUUUGUGGGCGAUACUCUUUGCAUGAAUACUUUUGGGUUUCGAAGAGAGAGGAAUUUUCAAAGUUCACAUCUAAUUUAUCGUUACGAGUGACGGGAGUUUUUCGAUCGAACGAUUUAAGACACGAGAGUCUUCUCGGGGACAAGUAGGUUUGGUAUAACUUAACUUAGUCGAACUAAGUGGGAUGUCGUUGUAGAUUUACACGUUAAGUUAGUUUGGAAGAACCGUUUUGUCAGGACAUUGAUUCCCCUGGGUAAUUGUCUCUAGUGUUUUCUGUGUUUGAAGUUAACAGGUACUACUAACACGUGGGUCCUGAUGUUUUGAAACUAUAAGCUUUCAUGAGACGGUUCUUAAUAGGUCUCUCUGUGAUCGACUGGUGUACACAAGCCGUGUAUAAUUACAACUGACCCUAGCAUAUUCACUUAUGCUAUCAUGAUUUUGCUUAUUAGGGCCUUAAACCUUAUAAGGAUUAUGUGGGUCAAUCCGGAUGAAAUAGUAAUCACAGUUAUGAACAAUUAUUGAGGUUUUCAAAAACGUACCAAAACAAGGCAGGGUCCUUCGAUGCUUCCUCCUUCUCUGAGGUCAGACUCCUCCUGUUUCCUCAUUGUUCUUUUCUGUUGGGUAGUCUAUUUUGAAGUGUCCCAUUUCGCCACAUGUACCGCACACUUGAACUAUGCUAGCGUCGGUAGUGGAAGUGAUGUGCUGAGUCGGGGUCUUUGCGAAGCGAGCUUCCUGACCAUUCUUAGUUUCUGGACAAUUUCUUUUGAAAUGUCCGGGUUCACCACAAUUGUAGCAAACCUGACCCAUCUUUUCACCAGAAAUCGAGGCGUUUGACGGUGCUAGUGCUCUAUAGUAACGAGCGGUGUGUCCUGUCCUGUUGUAGUUCUUACAUUGCAAUUCAUAGCAUUUUCCUACAUGGUGGAAGUUGCAUUCCUCGCAAUUUGGAAGUUUUCCAGCAUAUCGUCGCACUGGUGUUGGCACUGGUUUGUCGGAUGUUGUGGCUGUGGAAGUUAUCACGGUUUGUUGUCUCUUGGCAAGUUUCUGAGACAACUUGCGCUCCCUCUUGUUCCAGAAUUUUCGCUUAGCACUCUUAGGUUUGGUAGUUGGAGUGUCCUCUUGGAUAAGCCCUUGUUGGUUUCCUGGUGUGUUGCUACAGUUCGUGAUGUGCAAACUGUUCCCAUUCCCACUUGGGUUGUUAGCAUUAAGAACAGCUAGGGCAGUAGCUUGGAACAUAGCUGAGUCCAUCUGGAGGACUGGUGUCUUACUGGUGGUUUGGUUACGUUCUUUCGGAGACAUAAUUCUGCUACAUGUCAAGAAAAGAAGCUUGUGAGCAAUAAUGGUUGCCUCUGGGUGUAUUCUAAAUGUUUAUCUAUGCAUUAAUACUUCCCAUUUUGCUAUCUAACUCUCGUUGAUUUAACCCACAUCCCCAUGAAGUGGUCCUAGCAAGAAUAGAAAACGAUUUGAACGCAAUAAAGCUCACAUCCAAUAAACUUACGAACUCCUUGUUGUUCAGCUCGUUGCGCUGGCUGGAUAACUCUCACACUUUCGUCGACUCUAGGCGGUAUGGAUAUUUAGCUACAAGGGUAGUUCCGAGGAUCAAGUCGAUACGGGAUUUAACUUGACACUCAGAAGAAAUCCCAGGAAUGUCUUUCGGGAAGACAUCAGGAAAUUUGUAGAAUUUGGGGAUGCUCUCGAGGUCUUUAACUUUUUAUGUCUCAUCAACCAUAUAAGCCAAGAAUGCAUGGCAUCCCUUUUCGCAAAUACUUAUGGGUUUUGGUGCAGGAAAUGAUACGAAGGUUCGAACAAAUUUUAUCACUAUAGCCAGUGAGAACUUCGUCAGAGGGAAAGAUUGAGACGAGUCACCCUUUCGAGUGCAAAGGACAUCAACACGAUUUGGGGCUCAACCAUCUCAUGUCGAUUAUGACAUCGAAACUUUUCAUGGAGACUGAUAUGAAAUUGAUGGGGAACAGGGAUGAUGGUCUAAGUACAUCCUAGGAUACAUGUUUUGAAGACUUUGAUAGGAGUUUCAUAAAUUUGCUUAAUUUGUGUGCUAUCGGUCUAAGAUAGACUUUUGACAAUGAUGAUCUUUAAAUGAUAUGUGCUUGUUGCCACUAUAACUGAAAUUGAGGUUACACAAUUUUCAGGACUCUUGACCUAGAAGUAGGUCUAAGUCAUAAUAACAAAGAGAAAAAAAAUCUUGGCAACAUGAAAGACAGAUAUGUUUACGGAAAGAAACUACUCAUCACAUAGAUAUGAAAAUUAUCCUUUAGCAAAAAGGAAGGAUGAGUAGAGUAUUCUCCUAUCGGCAACGAACACUCCUCGGACUGAUCCUUAAGUUGGCCAGCUGGUGCUCCAUGUCAAACAGGCGGCUCUCGUAUAUUGUCAGGCGCUCGAAGCUCCAUGACAUCAGCUCGAGUGGUAGCUAGCUCUUGUUGCAGAGCUUCAUUGUCCCUCAUAGUUCUCCCAUGACCAACUUUGAGAUUGCGAAUGCGGUUUGUGUUGGCAUCUAAGUCUGUCUCAAGCUCCAUAGUUCGCUGAAGGGUUGCCACACUUAGCUCCACAUUGCAAGCCACUCGACGGACUAUGAUCAAAAGGGCUCUAUCUGCGGAGCCUCCCUCGUUCACGUUGUAGAAGCGACGAUACCCUUCGCACCGGGGGGGGGGGGGGGGUNCGGGUAGGGGUUGCCUUGUUCGUGACUCCAUCUAUCCAAGCUUCCGACCCACAUAGGCGUUAGGCCUUCGAACUCAAGUCGGGGGUUAGGAUUUGGUAUCGGGGCUACUGGAGGUAGGUUCUCGACUUCAGGUUCUGGGUCGCCCUCUUCGGGGAAUUGUUCUGCGAAGUCAUCAUCCAAAGGAAUUUCAUGAUUUUCUUCUGGCUUUGCCUCGAUCCAUCCAACAUUUCCUUGGUUGGGAAAAUACGGGUCGCCAGGGAGAUGGAAUUAUGUCAUGCUAUCUACGCGAGAUAAGGGGUAAAAGGAUAGUUAUUAGGCAUCGAAUCUAAUAAUACUUCCAAUCUAUUAUAGUUACAUGAUUGAUUCUCGAGGGAUGGAUUCAUGGAUAAGUUUCCGGUUUGGUCGUUAUAGCAUCCUAAAAUAUUCCUAUAGUAUUUUAACCCUUAUGUUUGACUCUAGAACCUUUUUGGUACCUAGGUAAGUUUUAGACUUGCUGCGACACUACAGUCACUCCCAAGCACAUGUUGGUCAUGUCUCGAAUGAAUAUAGUUGAUUAGGCUAUAUUGACCCUAGACAUGAUUACAUAACAGCCCAGGUUUAACCGCGAUGUCCAACAUCCAAAUACUUUUGUUUUGUUCUACUUAUGAAACUGGUUCGGGUACUUAGGUAUACUUGUAUACUUUUUAUAAAAAUACUUAUAUUUUUGAAAGUAUACUUUUAGUUUAGAGCACUUAGGCCCCUUAAUGUUUAUAUUUGUAUACCAUGUAUGGUUCGGUAUACUUAGUUCACUAUAAACAAGAGCUCUGAUACCAAUCUGUCACACCCCAAAACCGGAACGACGGAAACGUUCUGGGAUGGAGGACGUCAUGUGUAGUAUCACAACAAUUGUAUCAUAGCAAGCAUAGUAAACACAACCAAACAUUGAAUACAUAUAUGAAUAAGGUUUACAUUGUCUUAGUACAUAGUUUUGUUCAUAUCCAAAGUAAAAUAGAAAGACGUGACUCUAACGCUCCGACUUCUCCAAUCUCCUGAAAGUACCUGUCUACUAAUCCCGUGAGAAUACAAGCAGUUUUGAAAGAAUAUCAGCAUAAAGCUGGUGAGUUCAUAAACAUUUAGUUUUGGUGGAAAAUGUUUCUUUGAUCCUUUUGAAAAGUGUUCCUCAAGAAAAUCCUAUAUUUUCUUAUGAAGAGCAUGUUUGAAAACCCAUUCCUUCCCGAUUCAUACAAGGUAUGUACAAUCCAAGGAGUCGUGGAAUGAAUAUGAAUAUCCGUUAGUUACAUGUAAAAACAAAUACGUUAAUGAAGAGCCGAGUUAUCCCGGGAAAAUCCUAUAUUUUCCCUAAAAACAGGUUAUCCGUCCUAGAGGUAGAGAUGCAAGUUUAGAAAUCCCUGAUUACUAUCAGUGUAUUUAUGAAAAUAGUUUUAUUACUCAAAAUAAAACAAUGAAGAGUAGAGUCCGUAAACCAAAAUUAGUUUAUACUUAUUUGUGAGUCGUAUAACCAUACUUGAUAUGACCGAGAGACCUUUAUAACUUUCCUCAGGCGUUAAGCUAAAUGAAAUUUGCUCACCCUAGGCAUGCCUGCCUAACUGUAGCUAGCAGUUCAGGUGUUGGAUUGUCAGUCCCGAAUAGAUCUAUUCACAAAUCUCACGCUCUCCCUCCAGGAGACUCUGGUUAUACUAAAAGGAUUUAUCCCUGUACACCUAAGAGUACAGUAUUGAAGUAGCGCCUCAUAAUUCGGUAUAAUCUAGUUCACUAGCGGGAAAACAAUAUAUAACAGUAAUUAUUCUUUAAUAAAUGCACUUUAUACUCCUGAGGAAACAUAUAACAUAAACUAAAUUUGUCAUAGUUUAUACAUAUUCAUCCAUGAAAUCUGAUUUGGUAGAAACUGGCUAGAGGGUUAUCCCAAACUAUACCCAUUAUAGUUUAUUAGAGUUGAUAUAAAAAAAUGCUUUGUAAAAACAUUUCUGAAAGUGAUGAAGUUAGAUUUCCAAAUUAAGAGUUUCCCUUAUGCUCAACAUAUUACAAAAAUAAGGGAUAAAAUAUCUGAAUAUG
This 6670-nucleotide long non-coding RNA is filed under the name Lactuca sativa (garden lettuce). Its description in RNAcentral is "long non-coding RNA (LSAT_LNC008816)". The record is from RNAcentral. Lineage: Eukaryota; Viridiplantae; Streptophyta; Magnoliopsida; Asterales; Asteraceae.